This 135-nucleotide ribosomal RNA is filed under the name uncultured bacterium. RNAcentral describes it as "partial 16S ribosomal RNA". The record is from RNAcentral.
CACGUAGUUAGCAGACCCUUAUUCAACUGUUACCGUCAUAAUCGUCACAGAUAAAAGCAGUUUACAACCCGAAGGCCUUCCUCCUGCACGCGGCGUUGCUCCGUCAGGCUUUCGCCCAUUGCGGAAAAUUCCCUA